RNAcentral lists this ribosomal RNA (466 nucleotides) under uncultured bacterium. Its description in RNAcentral is "partial 16S ribosomal RNA". It matches the Rfam family "Bacterial small subunit ribosomal RNA", at positions 28 to 507 of the family's 1533-position model. The record is from RNAcentral.
GAUGAACGCUGGCGGCGUGCUUAACACAUGCAAGUCGAACGAUGAAGCCCAGCUUGCUGGGCGGAUUAGUGGCGAACGGGUGAGUAACACGUGAGUAACCUGCCCUUGACUCUGGGAUAAGCCCGGGAAACUGGGUCUAAUACCGGAUAGGAGCUCCUGUCUCAUGACGGGUGCUGGAAAGAUCUUUCGGUCAUGGAUGGACGCGCGGCCUAUCAGCUUGUUGGUGAGGUAACGGCUCACCAAGGCGACGACGGGUAGCCGGCCCGAGAGGGUGACCAGCCACACUGGGACUGAGAGACGGCCCAGACCCCUACGGGGGGCAGCGGUGGGGAGCAUUGCACAGUGAGCGAGAGCCUGAUGCAGCGACGCCGCGUGAGGGAUGACGGCCUUCGGGUUGUAAACCUCUUUCGGCAGGGAAGAAGCGAAAGUGACGGUACCUGCAGAAGAAGCACCGGCUAACUACGUG